This 465-nucleotide ribosomal RNA is filed under the name uncultured bacterium. Its description in RNAcentral is "partial 16S ribosomal RNA". It matches the Rfam family "Bacterial small subunit ribosomal RNA", at positions 28 to 507 of the family's 1533-position model. The record is from RNAcentral.
GACGAACGCUGGCGGCGUGCUUAACACAUGCAAGUCGAACGGAAAGGCCCUGCUUGCAGGGUACUCGAGUGGCGAACGGGUGAGUAACACGUGGGUGAUCUGCCCUGCACUUCGGGAUAAGCCUGGGAAACUGGGUCUCAUACCGGAGAGGAGCCAUUUUUAGUGUGAUGGUUGGAAAGUUUUUUCGGUGUAGGAUGAGCUCGCGGCCUAUCAGCUUGUUGGUGGGGGAAUGGCCUACCAAGGCGGCGACGGGUAGCCGGCCUGAGAGGGUGGACGGCCACAUUGGGUCUGCGAUACGGCCCAGACUCCUACGGGCGGCAGCAGUGGGGAAUAUUGCACAAUGGGCGCACGCCUGCUGCAGCGAGGCCGCGUGGGGGAGGACCGCCUGCGGGUUGUACACUCCUUUCGCUAGGGGCGAAGCUUUUUGUGACGGUACCUAGGUAAGAAGCACCGGCUAACUACGUG